Molecule: small RNA, 27 nt
Filed under: Bombyx mori (domestic silkworm)
Lineage: Eukaryota; Metazoa; Arthropoda; Insecta; Lepidoptera; Bombycidae
Description: ovarian small RNA-36787
Source: RNAcentral
UUAUAGAGGUACACAUCCUCGCGGCCC